This 492-nucleotide ribosomal RNA is filed under the name uncultured bacterium. RNAcentral's name for it is "partial 16S ribosomal RNA". It matches the Rfam family "Bacterial small subunit ribosomal RNA", at positions 29 to 507 of the family's 1533-position model. The record is from RNAcentral.
AGUGAACGCUAGCGGUAGGCCUAACACAUGCAAGUCGAACGGCAGCACAGUAAGAGCUUGCUCUUACGGGUGGCGAGUGGCGGACGGGUGAGGAAUACAUCGGAAUCUACUUUUUCGUGGGGGAUAACGUAGGGAAACUUACGCUAAUACCGCAUACGACCUACGGGUGAAAGCAGUGGAUCUUCGGACCUUGCGCGAUUGAAUUAGCCGAUGUCGGAUUAGCUAGUUGGCGGGGUAAAGGCCCACCAAGGCGACGAUCCGUAGCUGGUCUGAGAGGAUGAUCAGCCACACUGGAACUGAGACACGGUCCAGACUCCUACGGGAGGCAGCAGUGGGGAAUAUUGGACAAUGGGCGCAAGCCUGAUCCAGCCAUACCGCGUGGGUGAAGAAGGCCUUCGGGUUGUAAAGCCCUUUUGUUGGGAAAGAAAAGCAGCAGGUUAAUACCCCGCUGUUCUGACGGUACCCAAAGAAUAAGCACCGGCUAACUUCGUG